RNAcentral lists this long non-coding RNA (335 nucleotides) under Elaeis guineensis (African oil palm). Its description in RNAcentral is "long non-coding RNA (EGUI_LNC005372)". Lineage: Eukaryota; Viridiplantae; Streptophyta; Magnoliopsida; Arecales; Arecaceae. The record is from RNAcentral.
CUGAUGGAUCGGAAUAGAAUUUAUUUUGAUGCUGAGGUUUGGAUGAGUCAUCCAAGCCGUAACCCUAACCCAAAUGAUGAACCCUAAUCCUAACCCUAGGGAAGGGGAAACCCCAACCCUAGCUGUCGUCGGAGCAUGGACGGCAGAAGAUCCGGCUAAGAGGAUAGGGGAGAGUGGAAGAGGAAAAAGAGAAAAAUGAGGAGAUUAAUCCAGGAAAAGAAAAGAGGAGGAAGUAAGCGAAAGAGGAAAAGCAGAAUUGAAAAAAAAAGGGACGGCGGGAGGAGGAAGAGGAGGGCUUAUCGUGAGGUGGAUCGAGUUAUCGAUAACCUCAAGGG